GAUGAACGCUGGCGGCGUGCCUAAUACAUGCAAGUCGAGCGAACGGACGAGAAGCUUGCUUCUCUGAUGUUAGCGGCGGACGGGUGAGUAACACGUGGAUAACCUACCUAUAAGACUGGGAUAACUUCGGGAAACCGGAGCUAAUACCGGAUAAUAUUUUGAACCGCAUGGUUCAAAAGUGAAAGACGGUCUUGCUGUCACUUAUAGAUGGAUCCGCGCUGCAUUAGCUAGUUGGUAAGGCAACGGCUUACCAAGGCAACGAUGCAUAGCCGACCUGAGAGGGUGAUCGGCCACACUGGAACUGAGACACGGUCCAGACUCCUACGGGAGGCAGCAGUAGGGAAUCUUCCGCAAAGGGCGAAAGCCUGACGGAGCAACGCCGCGUGAGUGAUGAAGGUCUUCGGAUCGUAAAACUCUGUUAUUAGGGAAGAACAUAUGUGUAAGUAACUGUGCACAUCUUGACGGUACCUAAUCAGAAAGCCACGGCUAACUACGUG
RNAcentral lists this ribosomal RNA (497 nucleotides) under uncultured bacterium. RNAcentral describes it as "partial 16S ribosomal RNA". It matches the Rfam family "Bacterial small subunit ribosomal RNA", at positions 28 to 507 of the family's 1533-position model. The record is from RNAcentral.